Colobus angolensis palliatus is the source of this 93-nucleotide microRNA precursor. NCBI's taxonomy places the organism in Eukaryota, Metazoa, Chordata, Mammalia, Primates, Cercopithecidae. The record is from Ensembl.
GGAGGAUCGCUUGAGCCUGGGAGGUCAAGGCUGCAGUGAGCUGUGAUCAUACCACUGCACUCCAGCCUGAAUGACACAGCAAGACUUUGUCUC